This 429-nucleotide ribosomal RNA is filed under the name bacterium. RNAcentral's name for it is "partial 16S ribosomal RNA". It matches the Rfam family "Bacterial small subunit ribosomal RNA", at positions 355 to 776 of the family's 1533-position model. The record is from RNAcentral.
UAGGGAAUCUUCGGCAAUGGGGGCAACCCUGACCGAGCAACGCCGCGUGAGUGAAGAAGGUUUUCGGAUCGUAAAGCGCUGUUGUAAGUCAAGAACGGGUGUGAGAGUGGAAAGUUCACACUGUGACGGUAGCUUACCAGAAAGGGACGGCUAACUACGUGCAAGCAGCCGCGGUAAUACGUAGGUCCCGAGCGUUGUCCGGGAUUAUUGGGCGUAAAGCGGGCGCAGGCGGUUUGAUAAGUCUGAAGUUAAAGACUGUGGCUCAACCAUAGUUCGCUUUGGAAACUGUCAAGCUUGAGUGCAGAAAGGGAGAGUGGAAUUCCAUGUGUAGCGGUGAAAUGCGUGGAUAUAUGUAGGGACGCCGGUGGCGAGAGCAGCUCUCUGGUCUGUACCUGACGCUGAGGCUCGAAAGCGUGGGGAGCGAACAGG